Molecule: long non-coding RNA, 203 nt
Organism: Alosa alosa (allis shad)
Lineage: Eukaryota; Metazoa; Chordata; Actinopteri; Clupeiformes; Clupeidae
Exons: 3
Source: RefSeq, a predicted model, not a curated record
UUACUACAUUGCAGGAAGAUGAUGAUUACUCCUCUUCUACAGAGUCUGAUGUGAGCAUGGGUAAAUGGGACCCCAGCCUGGAAACAAAUAGUUCUGGCAGUGAUGUGCAAGAUGAAGAUGAUGAUGUUUCAACAGAAGCUAAAUGUGAUGAAUCUAUAUCGCUGACCAAGGCUGAGGACACUCUGGGGUUUUAUAGAGAUGAA